CCCACGGUUAUACAAAAAAUUUAAGUGAAUUUUAUUAGAUUUAGUUAAAUUAUAAAAUUUUAUAAUAAAAUUAAUUUUAUUAAGUGAAAUUUUAAUAUUAAUUAAUAUUAUAUAUGAAUUUGAUUGAAGCUAGAAAAUUUUAAAUUUAAACUAGGAUUAGAUACCCUAUUAUUUAAAAUGUAAUUAAAAAAAAUCUUGAGUAGUAAUAGUUAUGGUCUUGAAACUUAAAAAAUUUGGCGGUAUUUUAAUCUAUUUAGAGGAACCUGUUCUAUAAUCGAUAUUCCACGUUGAACCUUACUUAAAUUUGUUUAAUUUACAAUAUGUAUAUCGCUGUUAUAGAUUAUUUUAUUAGAAUAAUAAUUUUCUUAAUUUUUUAUUAAAAAUUAUAUCAGGUCAAGGUGUAGUUUAUGUUUAAGAAAGAAAUGGGUUACAAUGAUAAUAAUAAUGGAAAUAAGAAUGAAAUUUUUUAUAGAAAUUGGAUUUAAUAGUAAAAUUAUAUAGAUUAUUAAUUUGAUUUUAGUUCUAAAAUAUGUACAUAUCGCCCGUCGCUCUUAUUUUUAUAUUAAUAUAGUAAAAUAAGAUAAGUCGUAACAUAGUAGAAGUACUGGAAAGUGUUUCUAGAAUGU
RNAcentral lists this ribosomal RNA (626 nucleotides) under Xylomya moiwana. RNAcentral describes it as "12S ribosomal RNA". The record is from RNAcentral. Lineage: Eukaryota; Metazoa; Arthropoda; Insecta; Diptera; Xylomyidae.